CACAGGUCCUAUACCAUUAACAUCUUGGCUGCGGAGGGUAAUGUGACAGCGCUGCACUCCUGACAGCAGGACAGUCUGUUGUUCAUCUUCCAGGCAUAUGAUGUCUCAUAAAAGCAGCUAGAUUUAACAGCUUCUAUGAUGUCGGCUGUAGAAGGAACCUAGACUACUUCCCUCCUAUGCCUUGUGGAUUGGAUGCCUUGGACCUCUAUGACACCUGUGUUGAGGGGAUAACACUGAUACCCCCAUCAUGGCAGCUGAAAUAAAAAUAGCCACCCUUAAUGUCAAAGGGUUCAAC
Molecule: long non-coding RNA, 295 nt
Organism: Hyla sarda
Lineage: Eukaryota; Metazoa; Chordata; Amphibia; Anura; Hylidae
Exons: 3
Source: RefSeq, a predicted model, not a curated record